This 264-nucleotide RNase P RNA is filed under the name Gammaproteobacteria bacterium. RNAcentral describes it as "partial RNase P RNA component class A". It matches the Rfam family "Bacterial RNase P class A", at positions 1 to 236 of the family's 367-position model. Rfam says of the family: Ribonuclease P (RNase P) is a ubiquitous endoribonuclease, found in archaea, bacteria and eukarya as well as chloroplasts and mitochondria. Its best characterised activity is the generation of mature 5'-ends of tRNAs by cleaving the 5'-leader elements of precursor-tRNAs. The record is from RNAcentral. Lineage: Bacteria; Pseudomonadati; Pseudomonadota; Gammaproteobacteria.
CGAGUCGGUCGGAUAGUCGCUGCUGCCCUUGUGUAACUGGCAGGAGAGGAAAGUCCGGACUCCGCAGGGUGGCGUGCCGGAUAACGUCCGGGCAGUGCGAACUGACAGCCAGUGCAGCAGAAAGCAAACCGCCCGACCACUCAAUGGUGUGCUUGCACGCCAUUGAGUGGUCGGGUAAGGGUGAAAGGGUGCGGUAAGAGCGCACCGCGUCGGUGGCAACAUACGACGGCAGGGUAAACCUCACGCGGAGCAAGACCAAAUAGG